GCCGGCUUAGCUCAGUUGGUAGAGCAACGGUUUUGUAAACCGAAGGUCGGCGGUUCGAUCCCGUCAGCCGGCACCA
Molecule: transfer RNA, 76 nt
Filed under: Burkholderiales bacterium
Lineage: Bacteria; Pseudomonadati; Pseudomonadota; Betaproteobacteria; Burkholderiales
Also listed under: 3 other names
Description: tRNA-Thr
Rfam family: tRNA
About the family: Transfer RNA (tRNA) molecules are approximately 80 nucleotides in length. Their secondary structure includes four short double-helical elements and three loops (D, anti-codon, and T loops).
Source: RNAcentral